UCACUCUCUCAUCCAAUCGGUAUGUACCUGUAUCUUCUGUGACAUCACAACAUUCGCUCUCCCUCUCGCUCUUCCUCAAACUCUUUGCUCUCUCUCUUCCUCUCUCACUCUAUCUCUCACUCUUUCUCUCUUGUCCAAUCUCAAUAUGUUGUGAUGUCAUAUGGACCUCCCAAGCAUAAUAUAUCCCCGUACUAUUAUCUUUAUCUCCCUUUUCUGAAGUGAUGCAAAGUCUCCUCGGAAUGAAAUUCUUCACAACAUCGAGCCGGUCUUCAACUACUCGGCCAUCAGAAUAGGCGACUAUAAACUACACUACGGCGCUCUCUCUGCGCAUUACUCCGGAUGGUAUCCACCAGAAGGAGAGACUUUUAACGAGACAAAGCGAGUUCCAAACGCCUUUGUGGUGAGCUGUCCUUCUAAGCAGACUAACGCCUCCACCAACUGCGACUAUGAGAAUCACCAGCCUUGUCUCUAUAACAUCAGGGAGGAUCCCUGUGAAUUCAACAAUAUAGCAGACUGGAACCAAGCUAUUGUUGAUAUAAUGACGCUAAGACUUGAGCUGUACCGUCAAACAGCAGUGGAGCCCAGGAACCAGGCAGGAGAUCCGCAGAGCAACCCAAAACUACAUGGAAAUGCUUGGGUACCCUGGAUCACUCCUUAGCAUAUCAGCAUAUCGAGAAGAAAUAUACUCCGAACAAAAUUGUUGAUCAGAAUACUGCCCUCAUGUUUGCAAUCUGACAAGGAAUAGCUGAAAAGUUUGGAUGAAAUGAUCUACCCUGGGUCACUCCAUAGCAUAUUGAGUAGAAAUAUACUCUGAAAAGAAUUGCUCAUCAAAAUACUGCCCUCAUGUUUGCAAUCUGACAAGAAAUACCGGUAGCUGAAAAGUUUGAGUGAAAUGAUCGUAAAUGUUUUGCUUCUCCUUUUUUUAAUGACGAUGAGACUGGAGCACUACCGCUGAACAGCAGUAGAACCACAGAAGUGGGUCACUAUAAGCCAGUACAUAUACUUCUGUGAAACCUGUCUAUAAAGACCACUCAAAGGAGACAAGAAAAGUGGUCUUUUUAGGCAGGUGGUCUUUAUUACAGGUUUCUUUAGUACAGGU
Molecule: RNA transcript, 1099 nt
Organism: Strongylocentrotus purpuratus (purple sea urchin)
Lineage: Eukaryota; Metazoa; Echinodermata; Echinoidea; Camarodonta; Strongylocentrotidae
Exons: 3
Source: RefSeq, a predicted model, not a curated record